Molecule: ribosomal RNA, 407 nt
Filed under: uncultured bacterium
Lineage: Bacteria
Description: bacterial SSU rRNA
Rfam family: Bacterial small subunit ribosomal RNA
Source: RNAcentral
UGGGGAAUAUUGGGCAAUGGGGGAAACCCUGACCCAGCAACGCCGCGUGAGGGAAGAAGGUUUUCGGAUUGUAAACCUCUGUCCUAUGGGAAGAAGAAAGUGACGGUACCAUAGGAGGAAGCCCCGGCUAACUACGUGCCAGCAGCCGCGGUAAUACGUAGGGGGCGAGCGUUGUCCGGAAUUACUGGGCGUAAAGGGUGCGUAGGCGGCCCUGCAGGUCAGAUGUGAAAUACCCGUGCUUAACAUGGGGGCUGCAUUUGAAACCGUAGGGCUUGAGUGCGGAAGAGGUAAGUGGAAUUCCCGGUGUAGCGGUGAAAUGCGUAGAGAUCGGGAGGAACACCAGUGGCGAAGGCGACUUACUGGGCCGCAACUGACGCUGAGGCACGAAAGCGUGGGGAGCAAACAGG